This 207-nucleotide ribosomal RNA is filed under the name uncultured bacterium. RNAcentral describes it as "partial 16S ribosomal RNA". It matches the Rfam family "Bacterial small subunit ribosomal RNA", at positions 568 to 774 of the family's 1533-position model. The record is from RNAcentral.
AGUGUAGGCGGCUACUUAAGUCGGAUGUGAAAUCCCCGGGCUCAACCUGGGAAUUGCAUUCGAUACUGGGUAGCUAGAAUUUGGUAGAGGUAAGUGGGAUUCCGGGUGUAGCGGUGAAAUGCGUAGAUAUCCGGAGGAACAUCAGUGGCGAAGGCGGCUUACUGGACCGAAAUUGACGCUGAGGCUCGAAAGCGUGGGGAGCAAACA